This 646-nucleotide ribosomal RNA is filed under the name uncultured bacterium. RNAcentral describes it as "bacterial SSU rRNA". It matches the Rfam family "Bacterial small subunit ribosomal RNA", at positions 60 to 754 of the family's 1533-position model. The record is from RNAcentral.
AGUCGAACGCCCCGCAAGGGGAGUGGCAGACGGGUGAGUAACGCGUGGGAAUCUCCCCUUUGGUACGGAAUAACCCGGGGAAACUCGGGCUAAUACCGUAUAAGCCGGUAACGGGAAAGAUUUAUCGCCAAAGGAUGAGCCCGCGUCGGAUUAGCUAGUUGGUGGGGUAACGGCCCACCAAGGCUACGAUCCGUAGCUGGUCUGAGAGGACGACCAGCCACACUGGGACUGAGACACGGCCCAGACUCCUACGGGAGGCAGCAGUGGGGAAUCUUGGACAAUGGGCGCAAGCCUGAUCCAGCCAUGCCGCGUGAGUGAUGACGGCCUUAGGGUUGUAAAGCUCUUUCGCACGCGACGAUGAUGACGGUAGCGUGAGAAGAAGCCCCGGCUAACUUCGUGCCAGCAGCCGCGGUAAUACGAAGGGGGCUAGCGUUGUUCGGAAUUACUGGGCGUAAAGCGCACGUAGGCGGCUCUGUAAGUUGGGGGUGAAAUCCCGAGGCUCAACCUCGGAAUUGCCUUCAAGACUGCAGGGCUUGAGUUCGGGAGAGGUGAGUGGAAUUCCCAGUGUAGAGGUGAAAUUCGUAGAGAUUGGGAAGAACACCAGUGGCGAAGGCGGCUCACUGGCCCGUAACUGACGCUGAGGUGC